GGGAGCUGCGCGAGCCCGCCCGCCCCUCGACUCGGGAGACUGUAAAAGUUUGUCUCAGCUCCAGCAUCCCGAGCCUCAACACGCCCUCAGGUAAAGCCCCUCCAGCUCGAAUAAUGAAGAGACAGUCAAUGCAAUCUGCAAGCGGCGGCCCAUUGUACGCAGCUGAUGGAAAGAAGGCAACCGGGGCCGGCGAGGGCUCCUUGCCCUCUCUCCUCUCCUCAAAUAAACGCGCUCAUGUCUCCUGAUCAGUUAAAAGGUGAAAUGAACACGAUUAAAAGACAAAAAGAGAGACAGAGAUAGAGAGAUAGAGAGAGAGAGGGAGAGAAGAAAAGAAGGAAGAAAAAGAACAAGCUUUCUACAUAUAAAUUCUAAAUUUUAUUCCUCAUGUAGUACAAAGGCAGGCAGUCGAGGGCAGAGAAAGCAGGCAGGGAGAGGGAGACAGGGAGAAGCAAAGAGAACGUGGAGAGAUACGGAGCGAGUGGAAGAGGAAGGAGGAAGGAGAGCAAGCUCCAGGGAACUGGAGGCGCCCUGGACGCCCAGCCCUCCGGCCCAGCCGCCCUCGGACUCUGGACCGCGAGUCGUGGGCACCAGAAGCGAGACUCAACCAAGUCCUGCCCUACCAGACAGGGAUUGAGAAACGGAAAUUUCACCACCCUCCAGCCAAACUUUCGAGGACUGAUUGCAGAGGAACUGGUGCUCCAGAUGUUGCACUAGAGGCGCUGCAAGUGUGAGCAGAUGGCAGUAGACCUACCUCACAAGUGGGAGCAGAUAUUCUCAAUGUUUCUAUUGAAAUAUCUUUAUUUCCAUUUGCAAGAGGAGCUCUGGAGCCUCAUUCUUGUGGUAGCUACCAAGUUCUGAUAUAAGCUGUUUUCAUCAGGGAACUUUGGCAAGAGAAUGGCUGGAUCAGCAAGUCCAUCUCCAUCAUGGAACAACAACUUGAAGCUCAUCUCUGUUGAUGAGGGAAUUGCUCUGUGUAUAACUGGAUUCAUUGUGCCCAUGAGAGGAGCUAAGUUCAGGAGCCUCCUGUAUUGUCAUUUUGGACUGGAACUCAGAAGCAAGUUUUGAUAGAAAAUCUUAAAGUAAGCAUUCUGGACAUCAUGCGUAUGAUACAUAACUGGUAUUCCAUUCUGUUUCCAGCUCCAGCCAGGUAAGUUUCUUUGUAUGAUACACAACUGGUAUUCCAUUCUGCUUCCAGCUCCAGGUAGGUAAGUUCCUUUGUAGCUGAAAAGUGUGUCAGCUUUUUUCGUUUUUCAGUGUCCCUCAAUGGGACACACCCACAGUGGAAUAUUAUUCAGCCGCAAGAAAGAAGGAAAUCCUGCCAUUGGUGACAGCAUGGACCUUGAGGGUACUAUGCUAAAUGAAGUGAGCCAAAGAGAAAUAUUGCAUGGUAUCCCUUAUAUGUGGAAUCAAACAAACAAAAUUCAUACUCUUAGGAACAGAGAGGAGAAAAGUGGUUACCGGGGACUGGGAGGUAAGGGAAAUAGGGAAAGGUUGGUAAAAGGGCACAAGCUUUUAGCUGUAAAAUAUGUAAUGCCUGAGAUCCUCUGUAAAACAUGGUGACUAUAGUUGAUAACGAUGUUUUUAAAAAGUGCAGCUAUUAUAGAUAUUAGAAUAUGAAUUUCAGACUAUCAUUUUGACUUCUCUGAUUUAUUUUAGGGCAAAUCACUUAACAUGUUUGAGUCACAGUUUUUAAUUUGUAAAAUGUUUAUAGGGCUAAUGUAAGAAUAAAAUGUUAAUUUUUAAAAAGAACCUGUCUAAACUAUAAACUUACUAUAAAGGUUACCCACUGCUUUUGCAAAGUGUGGAAGUUGUGAAUAUUUAUACAAAAUAGUUAAAGAAAAUAACUUUAUCCCUUUUCCUGCAAAUAGCAAUUUAUUGCUUAUAUUUUAUAUUAAUAGGAAUACAUGAAUAAAAAUGAGGUUCGAGGUUUAGUAUAAGUUCUAAAUUCAGAGCUAGAAUUCCUGAUCUUCAGCAUCUCCAUAAUAUAAAUUAAUUUCUGUUUGAAAAUUAGGCAUCAUAUUAUUAAAUAAUUUACCUAUGACCACUUUGGCUUUGAUCCCUCAGAAAAGAGAAGUAGCAAAUUAUAGGUACUUUGAAUAAUCUAUAAGGGAAAAAAGAGCAUUAAAAUUUUUAUUUGGUACAACUCUGUGUCAGUUAAGACAAUUGCCAAAUUUGUCACUCAUUCUAUAAUCUACAUGUUACUGAGUCAGUGGUAGAUACUAAUCAAUUUUAAGCUUUUUGUUAUCUCUUACCUUUCUUCAAGCAUUUUAUUUUAUUUUAUUAUUUUUUUGGGCUGCAUCUGCAGCAUGCAGGAAUUAAAGGGCCAGGGAUUGAACCUGUGCCACAGCUGUAGCCUGAGCCAUGGGAGUGACAACACCAGAUCUGUAACCCACUGCACCACCCAGGAAACUCAUCAAGCAUUUUAAAGAACUUUUUUGGAGAACUUUUAAAAUAUUUUAUUGAAUUAUAGUUGAUUUACAAUGUUGGGUUAAUUUCUGUUACACAACAAAGUGAUUCAGUUAUACAUAUAUAUAAACAUUUUUUGUCAGAUCCUUUUCCCAUGUAGGUUAUUACAGAAUAUUGGAUAGAGUUCCUUGUGCUAUGCAGAGGUUUCCAUUGACCAUCCAUUCCAUAUACAAUAGUGUGCAUGUGCCAAUCCCAAGCCCCCAAUCUGUCCCUAACCCCCACCUGUCCCCUUUGGUAAUUAUGUUUGUUUUUAAAGUUUGUGAGUCUAUUUCUGUUUGGUAAAUAAAUUCUUUCAUAUAAUUUUUUUUCCAUAUUCCACAUAUAAGUGGUAUCAAGCAUUUUGUAUUGUCAUUUGGCCAUUUUCAGCAUCAGUAUAGUUACCAGUAACUUUGGUGAGCCCUAGACCUGUAAUAUGGGACUGCUUCAGGAAAUUUUAUCUCUUUAUUUCUCUGCAGUAAAAACAGCAGCUGUACCAACUACUAUUUGCAUUAUGUGAGACUAAGUAGUCUUUAGAGUCACUAAUCCAGGAUAGCCAGCUUAUGUUGAAGAAGACUAUACAUACUAUACAUACACCUACACACACCAUCACAUAUAUUACUACGUACAUUCAUACAUAUAAUUUUCUUCAUCAUAAUUCAUAUUCUCUUUUGAAUUGUAUUAAGCCAAAAAUAAGAAUUACCUUUAAAGCUGUUCAUUUUUUAUUAAUGGCUAUUUUUUGAAGAUAUAGAAUUAGUUGUAACUUCACUCUUUAAAUUCGUAAAUAAGCAAAAUAUAGAACAUUUCAAAUUCAUACUAUUGAAGUGUUUCUCUCGGAGUUCCCAUCGUGGCUCAGUGGUUAAUGAAUCUGACUAGGAACCAUGAGGCUGUGGGUUCAAUCCCUCGCCUUGCUCAGUGGGUUAAGGAUCCAGUGUUGCCAUGAGCUGUGGUGUAGGUCGCAGACUCGGCUCUCUGAUCCAGCAUUUCUGUGGCUAUGGUGUAGGCCUGCGGCUACAGGUCUGAUUAGACCCCUAGCCUGGGAACCUCCAUAAUGCUGCCGGUGUGGCCCUAGAAAAAGACAAAAAAAAAAAAAAAAAAAAAAAANAAAAA
RNAcentral lists this long non-coding RNA (3552 nucleotides) under Sus scrofa (pig). RNAcentral's name for it is "lncRNA (ENSSSCG00060032161.1)". Lineage: Eukaryota; Metazoa; Chordata; Mammalia; Artiodactyla; Suidae. The record is from RNAcentral.